This 465-nucleotide ribosomal RNA is filed under the name Bacillus pumilus. RNAcentral describes it as "bacterial SSU rRNA". It matches the Rfam family "Bacterial small subunit ribosomal RNA", at positions 338 to 795 of the family's 1533-position model. Lineage: Bacteria; Bacillati; Bacillota; Bacilli; Caryophanales; Bacillaceae. The record is from RNAcentral.
CCUACGGGAGGCAGCAGUAGGGAAUCUUCCCCAAUGGACGAAAGUCUGACGGAGCAACGCCGCGUGAGUGAUGAAGGUUUUCGGUUCGUAAAGCUCUGUUGUUAGGGAAGAACAAGUGCGAGAGUAACUGCUCGCACCUUGACGGUACCUAACCAGAAAGCCACGGCUAACUACGUGCCAGCAGCCGCGGUAAUACGUAGGUGGCAAGCGUUGUCCGGAAUUAUUGGGCGUAAAGGGCUCGCAGGCGGUUUCUUAAGUCUGAUGUGAAAGCCCCCGGCUCAACCGGGGAGGGUCAUUGGAAACUGGGAAACUUGAGUGCAGAAGAGGAGAGUGGAAUUCCACGUGUAGCGGUGAAAUGCGUAGAGAUGUGGAGGAACACCAGUGGCGAAGGCGACUCUCUGGUCUGUAACUGACGCUGAGACGCGAAAGCGUGGGGAGCGAACAGGAUUAGAUACCCUGGUAGUC